CCUACGGGGUGCAGUAGUGAGGAAUAUUGGUCAAUGGACGAGAGUCUGAACCAGCCAAGUAGCGUGAAGGAUGACUGCCCUAUGGGUUGUAAACUUCUUUUAUAUGGGAAUAAAACGUUCCACGUGUGGGAUUUUGUAUGUACCAUAUGAAUAAGGAUCGGCUAACUCCGUGCCAGCAGCCGCGGUAAUACGGAGGAUCCGAGCGUUAUCCGGAUUUAUUGGGUUUAAAGGGAGCGUAGGUGGAUUGUUAAGUCAGUUGUGAAAGUUUGCGGCUCAACCGUAAAAUUGCAGUUGAAACUGGCAGUCUUGAGUACAGUAGAGGUGGGCGGAAUUCGUGGUGUAGCGGUGAAAUGCUUAGAUAUCACGAAGAACUCCGAUUGCGAAGGCAGUUCACUGGACUGCAACUGACACUGAGGCUCGAAAGUGUGGGUAUCAAACAGGAUUAGAUACCCCAGUAGUC
Molecule: ribosomal RNA, 460 nt
Filed under: uncultured bacterium
Lineage: Bacteria
Description: partial 16S ribosomal RNA
Rfam family: Bacterial small subunit ribosomal RNA
Source: RNAcentral